RNAcentral lists this ribosomal RNA (447 nucleotides) under uncultured bacterium. RNAcentral's name for it is "partial 16S ribosomal RNA". It matches the Rfam family "Bacterial small subunit ribosomal RNA", at positions 29 to 523 of the family's 1533-position model. The record is from RNAcentral.
AACGAACGCUGGCGGCAGGCUUAACACAUGCAAGUCGAACGCCCCGCAAGGGGAGUGGCAGACGGGUGAGUAACACGUGGGAACAUGCCCAAAGGUACGGAAUAUCCUCGGGAAACUGGGAGCAAUACCGUAUGUGCCCGAAAGGGGAAAGAUUUAUCGCCUUUGGAUUGGCCCGCGUUGGAUUAGCUAGUUGGUGGGGUAAAAGCCUACCAAGGCGACGAUCCAUAGCUGGUCUGAGAGGACGACCAGCCACACUGGGACUGAGACACGGCCCAGACUCCUACGGGAGGCAGCAGUGGGGAAUCUUGGACAAUGGGCGCAAGCCUGAUCCAGCCAUGCCGCGUGAGUGAUGAAGGCCUUAGGGUUGUAAAACUCUUUCGUCGGGGACGAUAAUGACGGUACCCGAAGAAGAAGCCCCGGCUAACUUCGUGCCAGCCGCCGCCGUAA